Molecule: ribosomal RNA, 252 nt
Filed under: uncultured Lactobacillus sp.
Lineage: Bacteria; Bacillati; Bacillota; Bacilli; Lactobacillales; Lactobacillaceae
Description: partial 16S ribosomal RNA
Rfam family: Bacterial small subunit ribosomal RNA
Source: RNAcentral
UAACACGUGGGCAACCUGCCCUGAAGCGGGGGAUAACAUCUGGAAACAGGUGCUAAUACCGCAUAACAACGAAAGCCACAUGGUUUUCGUUUCAAAGAUGGUUUCGGCUAUCACUUCAGGAUGGGCCCGCGGUGCAUUAGCUAGUUGGUAAGGUAACGGCUUACCAAGGCAAUGAUGCAUAGCCGAGUUGAGAGACUGAUCGGCCACAAUGGAACUGAGACACGGUCCAUACUCCUACGGGAGGCAGCAGUC